Non-coding RNA from Pantherophis guttatus, 2784 nucleotides. NCBI's taxonomy places the organism in Eukaryota, Metazoa, Chordata, Lepidosauria, Squamata, Colubridae. The record is from RefSeq and is a predicted model, not a curated record.
CAGAGGCAGAUUUCUUUUUCUUAUUUUCCUCACCAAAAAAGGUAGGUGCGUCUUAUAGUCCAGAGCGUCUUAUACUCUGAAAAAUAUGGUAAUCGAAAGCAUGUUUCUCUUUCUUUAGCUACAGGGUGGCAGAUUCCUGUGGGAAUUGUAGCAGGCUUAACCUUGGGAGCUGCGAUACUCUUCCUGAUAUGCUGGUGCUGGAGACAUAGGAUAAUUUUCUAUCAGGAAGUGAGGACUUCGCCUGAUGACUUUCCUUUAGAAAGAGUUUAUGUUUCCUCUGCUUCUGACACAGAAGAAGAUGAGAUUCAAUCAGAAUCGAUGCUCCGAUCCGAAGUAACCUCAGAGGUCAGGACACACUACGAACGGUUGAGACGCCACUGGGUUCUUGAAGUCCCUGGGUUAACAUUGCGCAAGCGAGAAGGGAAGGAAGAGAGUCUCAAAAGGUCUCUGACAUGGUCUGGGCACUUGGAGACCCUGGACCAAGAAGUGUCAAGAUUGAACCAGCUAUCAUGGCCCAAAAGAGAAUAAUAACUGGGCUUGGCUGCAUUCUGAAAGAUACACCGAGCACGACUACCUCUGAUGAAGGAAGAGGAUUAGCUACUUCAAAGUGCCUCCUCCCUGAUUCUUCUUCAUAUAUGUAGCCGAGUCUUGGAAAGAGAUCCAGGAACCCCCUCCCCUUCCCCUCCCUUUUCUUCUCCUCUUGAAAUGUUUACAUUGUCAGGUUUUGCUGCUGGUGCUGCUCUUGAGAGUGGGUGGAAGAGAGAGGGCAAAAGGAGAGAGACGGGAGUGGGAAAUGUAGCACACCAGGUGCAAUAGAAGGAACCGAGGAAGGUGGCGGCACCCAGGUUGACUCAGAACAGGAAUUUCGAUGCUAAGAGUGGAGAGACACUUGAACACUGUGGUGCUGGGCCUUCCAAGGUCUCCUCCAACCCCCGUCCCACUCUUUAUGUAGGACUCCACUUAAGUGGAGUCUACCAGAGCCUUGGUAGUACAGGGGUUUAAGGCACCCUGUUAUUAAGCUUAUUAAGACCAGCUGCCUGCAAUUACUGCAGGGUUCGAAUCUCGCCAAGGCUCAAGGUUGACUCAGCCUUCCAUCCUUUCUAAGGUAGGUGAAAUGAGGACCCAGUUUGUGGGGGCAAUAAGCUGACUUUGUAUAAAUAUACAAAAGGAUGAAGGCUAUUGCUGAGCACAUUGUAAGCCGCCCUGAGUCUUCGGAGAAGGGCGGCAUAUAAAUCAAAUUAAAAAAAAAAAUGACUGACAAAACCAUUUAACGACCUCAACCGGGAGAGCCGGGAUUGCUGUCGUUGAAUGAAGGAUUCUGUUAGGAUGUUGAAUUUAGUAGCUGGAACAGUAAAGUGUCCAAUAGGACAGAACUUCUUCAGAGCUGAAGAAGCUCCUUGGAUGAGAAGCAAAACGUUUUCGAAGAAAAAUCAAGAAAGUCCAGUUGCAUCUUGAAAAAGCACCUUUGGGACAACUGCGACCUGGAUAAUUGAGAAUCUCCAUAGACAAUAGGCCAGGAUACGCGAUUUUACUGGAUUAGUUAGAGAGUGCUGACUCAUGCAUGAGGCAAUAUAUGGUGUAAUUGGUUGCUGUGGAUGUAUUUGUUUGCUUGAUUAUCCAUAGUAUUCUCGGAUGACUUCUCUGACAUCAAAGUUCAAAAGCUUCCCUAUAAUAAUAAGUACUCUUCCUAUAUGAAGUGCCAUUCAAAGUGAAAGAAUCGUGGGAUUCAGGAGUGAAAUUCUCAGGGCUUGCCUUUAGGGCAGAAUCAAUUCACGCGUCUGUUCCUGAUAAACCAGUCAAGAGCCUGGAUAGCUCUGCAGACAAAAGCACUGUAAUUUUAACACCAGCUGUCUGCAAUUAAAGUAAGUUCGAAUCUCGCCAGGCUCAAGGUUGACUCAGCCUUCCAUCCUUUCUAAGGUAGGUAAAAUGAGGACCCAGUUUGUGGGGGCAAUAAGCUGACUUUGUAUAAAAUGUACAAAAGUAUGAAGGCUGUUGCUUAACGCACUGUAAGCCGCCCUGAGUCUCCGGAGAAGGGCGGCAUAUAAAUCAAAAUUUAAAAAAAAAAAAGUGACAUGAAGUACCUCCGAGGCCUCUUGUUAUUUGCCUCAAAGCUCAGAGAUGGUCCUUUUGAAAAAGGCAACUUCUGGGGCUCCAUUGCCCCAUUUUUAAGGAUCCUUAAGGAGAAGAGAGGAAGUGAGAUGACUGGAGAAGAUGUUUUCAUGAUGUUCUUUCUGCUGUUAUUACAGAGUUAUAACUCUAGGUCACUCUCAACACAUCUCAGAUGGAUCACUGUAAUGCCCUCUACAUGAGGGUACCUUUGAAGGGUACCCAGAAACAUCACCUGAUGUAAAAUGUAGUGACACAAGCACUUGUGUAUACCUCUAGAUCAAUACAUGUCACACCUUUGCUCUUUGAGCCACGUACGUUAUCAGUUUGCUUCAGUGGUGGUAUUCACUUACCUUCGCUACCAGUUCGCAAAUGUGAGCGUAUGCGCAGAGCAUCAAAAAUGGGAUGUGAUUACAUCCGGGUGGAUGGGCGGAUCCACCUGCAGCCGGCACUACCAGUUUACCCAAACCAGAUAGAACUGGUUGAAUACAAUCACUGGUUUGCUUCCAGGUUGAAUUCAAGGCAGGGGUGAAAUGCUCCCGGUUCGGACCGGAUCGCCCGAUCCGGUAGCGAUGGCGGUGGGUGGUUCAGAGUACCGGUAGCAAAAAUCCUUGCCCCCCCGAUGCCCAGCUGAGCCGUGCGAUCAUCAGAAGCUUUUUUUUUUUUUACUUUUAAAAG